Molecule: ribosomal RNA, 465 nt
Filed under: uncultured bacterium
Lineage: Bacteria
Description: partial 16S ribosomal RNA
Rfam family: Bacterial small subunit ribosomal RNA
Source: RNAcentral
GACGAACGCUGGCGGCGUGCUUAACACAUGCAAGUCGAACGGAAAGGCCCCUUCGGGGGUACUCGAGUGGCGAACAGGUGAGUAACACGUGAGUAACCUGCCCUUGACUUCGGGAUAACUUCGGGAAACUGGGGCUAAUACCGGAUAGGAAUCCUUGCCGCAUGGUGGGGGUUGGAAAGCUUCGGCGGUUUUGGAUGGACUCGCGGCUUAUCAGCUUGUUGGUGGGGUAGUGGCUUACCAAGGCUUUGACGGGUAGCCGGCCUGAGAGGGCGACCGGCCACAUUGGGACUGAGAUACGGCCCAGACUCCUACGGGAGGCAGCAGUGGGGAAUAUUGCACAAUGGGCGGAAGCCUGAUGCAGCAACGCCGCGUGCGGGAUGACGGCCUUCGGGUUGUAAACCGCUUUCAGCAGGGGCGAAGCUUGUGGUGACGGUACCUGCAGAAGAAGCACCGGCUAACUACGUG